UGAAUGUCAGUUGGCUUUUCAUAGCCGAUCAUUCAGAGUUAGAGACAGCAGGUCGCACCACCGCUAACUAGCUAGCCGUUUCACAUCCGUUACACCUACUGUAGAUUCAAAUGAUCAGUUUCAGGCCCCAACCUGUCGGGUGAGACACAUGACUAUUUAAGUAAAUAUCUUCUUGAAGCGGCUGUGAAGUGGAAGAAUAUUUUCAGCAGCUUCUGGGCUGAAUUUGACACAUAAACCACGUCGUGGGCCGUUACACCAGUCGCGAGCCACCAAAGCGGAUUCGAAUGAGCACUGCGCCUGUAUUGUAUCGAGGUGUUUGCGAACUAAGGUGCUUGUCACUGAGCAGCUGUAACACAGUGUUGCCGGCGGUAGCUAGUAAAGUGGCCAAUUUUUUCCAUCCCAGGAUUAUAUUUCAAGUGGGAUAGCAGCCUACACAAUAAAUAACUCAUAUUGGUAGCCAUCUAGAUGUCACCUUGAUACAGGCUACUCAAUGGGGAGAGCAUGAACGGCAACAACACAGGGACACAGUGUUCUCAGAUGUCACAACCCUGUGUGAUUGGGUUCACUGGGCUCUCAGUUUGAAUGACCUCUAGUGAGGGUGAGAAGAGCUGACAAAUCAGAACUGAGGAGGAUUGUUACGGAGCCCCAUGAUGAACACCUGAUUCUGCGCUGACUUCUCUCUCCUGGAUGCUCUACUGUACAUACUGUCCCGUUGUGUGUUUCACUGCCUCUGAACACCCUUACCCCGAAUAGAUUUGCCCCUGAUCAUAGGUCUAGGAUUGUACCCAAUCCCAAUUUGAACUUCCUCUCUCUCUUAGUCUCUGUCUCCCCACACACCCCACACACAGGCAAACAAUAUUGUUUUUAAAUUAGUGUUGUAGUGUUGUUCUUAUUUGGUUACAUAUGUGUUAAUUGUUGUUACUUCUAUAGUCAAUUAUUUUGUGUACUUUGUUGUUAAUAUUGUUACCAAUUUAAAUUAAUAGUUUUUCUUACAUUUAGAUUUCAGUGAGAAUUUCACUGUAAAUUUACAGCAUUGACCUGGCACCAGAGUUACCAGCGCAAUACUGUAAUUUUGGGAUGCUGUAAUCUGUUUUACAGUAAGGGAAAUAGUACUGUGAAAUAUAUUACAGCAAAAUUACAGUAUUAAGUUGGCAACUCUGGUUCCAGUAUAAUUCUGUACAUUUACAGGGAACAGAUUUACAGUGUACUCACCUUGUAGCUGAGGUACACAAGCAACAUGGUCUCGAAAAAGCUGAUGAAAGCUACAAGCACCUGGAGAGAGAUGAAAGGAGAGAGAGAGGGAAAGAAAGAGAGAAAGAAAGAGAGAGAGAAAGAUUGGAGUAGUAACAGCAAUAGAGAGUGAGAGAGACAGAGAGUGGGUGGAAUCAUCAUUUUGAUGAUUCAACUCCAUCAAUAAGAAGUUAAAGUGAAGCAAUAAACCAGAGAGAGAGUGUGCGUGUGUGUGUGUGUGUGUGUGUGUGUGUGUGUGUGUGUGUGUGUAGACAGCCUUGUUAAUAUGACAGUUCAACAUUGUGUCUGACCUGUAGAGCCCACAGAGGCAGAGGCCUAUUCACCCAGAUGAUAAGAGACCUGCAGACACAGAACAAACAGAGCACAUAAUACAUGACACAUUGGGAGGAGAGGAAAGGAGGGAGAAUAAAAGAAAAAGGAGAUGUAACAGGGGUAAAUAUUAAAAGGACUCCCUUUCAAAUAUGAUCAAUCCAACGACAUAACGCCUCUUGUAAUUAUGUUUUUCACAAGCGAGUGGUUCUGAACUACAGCUGCCAUUAGACUUCCUCUGUGAAAAAGCAUCACAAUCAAUGUUCGCAGAUAACAUGAAUGCAGAUUUACAGCUCUGUUGUGAGAAAGAGGCUCUAUCCAGAGGCCUCUCGGGGCUUAUCAUUGCUGCCUUCUGAGUCUGCUGCCUGGAGUGUGUGUCAGCCAAAGAGCAACGGCCAGCCAAAGUCUUUAUUAAGCACACUCUGUCAUACUCCUUAUUCAUUUAUAGCCAGAGUUUACACAGUGUCACCAGCCGCCAAUGGUUAAAUAAAUAUGUCCCUGAGCAGGACUGGAGGCAGAGCCCAAGGACCCAGUCACAUCUGGGACAUACUCAGUCAGUUGGAUGGUCGGUUUGCUGGUCACUCGCUCACUCACUCACUCGUGCCUUUGAAUCUCAGUCCACACCACUGGACAUUCCACUCCUAGAAAGGACAUUUUGGAUGAGUGCAAACUAAGUUCACUUUUAAGUGCAAAUAAUCAGUCCCAAGACUCCUAAUUCAAAUAGUUUCUGUUUACUUAGCCUUCAGGCUCUGGUCUAGUGCACACACUCACAGCAGCCCCAAGACAUUUCCUGUAUCAGUCUUUGACUGGUUUACAGACAGCAGCUGCUAAUUAGGUUAUAUGGACACUACAUACAGUACAUAUUAUGUUGGCAUGAAAUCCAUACAGGUAACAUUGUGACAAACGAAUGUGCUACUGCAAUAAUGUAAUGUUUGCAGGUUGGCAUUUAUUGUCAUGAAUCUUGCCCUGGAGGCAGAAUGGUCACUAGCUGGCAUAGCCACAAAGUCAUCAAAACCUAACCCUAAACUUAACCACACUGCUAACCCUAAUGCUUAACCAUAACUCUAUAUUAAGACCAAAAAGCACAUUUUUGUUUUCAUACAUUUUUAGGAUAUAGCCAAUUUUUUCUAUGCAGUUGACCCAUCUAGCGGAAAUUGCUCAGUUCUGCCUCCAGGGCAAGAGUCAUGACAAUAAACGUCAAUCUGCAUAAUGUACCAUGUCUACAUCUCCAACCUCUCUAUUACUCACAGUAUCAUUAACUGUCUGUUGUACAUGGUCUCAUUACAGUGCUCUGUGGUGGACACAAGAUGAACAUCUCUCUCUCUGUAUUAGACUCCCAGACCAGUCUUGGCUCCUCAUUAAAGAUGAAUGGGACAUAAACAUGUAAACUUACCAGUCAAACUGGGUCCUGCUGGGGUGGACCGAUGCAUUCUGUUUGGAACAGUCCAGACUACAGGGGAAACAUGCAUAACAAGAGGACUGAAACGUGUCAUGCUUGGACAUUCAAAGAGUUCUAGCUUCCUGUGUUCCUCAACCCCAUCCUAUAUGACCUCAAAUUUCUCUCUCUCUGUUUCCUCCAGAAUUGUAAUGCCGGUGUUACAUUCUCAACAUACUCCUCACUC
Molecule: long non-coding RNA, 3182 nt
Organism: Oncorhynchus kisutch (coho salmon)
Lineage: Eukaryota; Metazoa; Chordata; Actinopteri; Salmoniformes; Salmonidae
Exons: 3
Source: RefSeq, a predicted model, not a curated record